Molecule: long non-coding RNA, 1052 nt
Filed under: Mus spicilegus (steppe mouse)
Lineage: Eukaryota; Metazoa; Chordata; Mammalia; Rodentia; Muridae
Description: lncRNA (ENSMSIG00000021549.1)
Source: RNAcentral
GAGCGGGACAAGCUCCGUACAGUUGGAUACAAGAAGAAAGAGACAGCGUAACUUAAACAGGAAGCUGGGCCAUCAAAGUUGAGAAAUUCCCAACGGAAGACAUGCUGAGUCGUUUCUAUACUACAACAGCAGCAGCAGCAAUGGCAUGGCCAGCUCAUGAGUUCUUUUGGCUCCCAAUCUUGGGGAUCUGUGGAACCAUUGCUUGGGACCCGAGGUGAGGCAGCAUCUCACGGCAGAAACGCAUGGGAGAUCCAAGCUUCUCAAUCCCCAUUGUCGGCUUUCCGCUGAUGACAUAAUAGCUCUUGUCUCCUCCCAAAGCACCACCUUCAUGAGCAAAUCUUUACCCAGAGCCUUUGGUGGACAUUCAACCCCCAUACUAGAGCAGAAGAGAAGGGCGGCUUGAGUCCGUGUUCAAGCUGACAAAGGAGGGGAGAGAGAGCAAGGAGAACAGAGGCGCCUGAUGCUGCAGCGGACAGGGAUAGGAGGGGCCGUGAGAGACGAGCACUCGAAGACACGGUGGGGCAAACGUAGAUAGGCUUUUAUUUUUCCUGUGGGAAAGACCAGAGCCCACGGAUGCCGUCUUUUCUCUGUGAGGGAGUUGAAGCCACACAGUAGGGGUUUACUUUUGUUGUGCUGGGAAUUGAUUGCAUGCCCAUGGUACCUAGUGAUCCUUGGAGAGAUGACAAGCGACUCACAGAGCCUUCCCUCAGCUUCCCCAGGAUGCCACUGGCAAAGGGAACAGAGUGGGCAUUGGGGUUCAGACAGCUGGAAUCCUAGCACCACCACCUACCAACUGUGUGAGCCUGGGCAAGGCCCUUCGAAAGCAGUGUCUUCAUCAGCAGAGGGGACCUGAUGAGGAUGCCUGUUCCUUUGGAAGGGAGUGUGAAGCUGGGAUUCAUGUUCCUGAAUACCAGAGAUCUGAGAGCCUGGGGGCUUCUCAUCCUGGCAGAGAUGAUACACACACCAGAGCACUUGGGCUGCCUUGGAAUUUGAGCAGACUAGCGAAGAAUGGAGCCCUCAAGACCAGAUGGAAGGAACAUAUCUCAAGCUGA